AAUUUUCCGCAAUGGGCGAAAGCCUGACGGAGCAACGCCGCGUGCGGGAAGACGGCCUGUGGGUUGUAAACCGCUUUUCUCUGGGAAGAAUAAGUUGACGGUACCAGAGGAAUCAGCAUCGGCUAACUCCGUGCCAGCAGCCGCGGUAAUACGGAGGAUGCAAGCGUUAUCCGGAAUUAUUGGGCGUAAAGCGUCCGCAGGCGGCUUAUCAAGUCUGCUGUUAAAGGUCGGGGCUCAACUCCGGUUAGGCAGUGGAAACUGAUAGGCUAGAGUGUGGUAGGGGUAGAGGGAAUUCCCAGUGUAGCGGUGAAAUGCGUAGAUAUUGGGAAGAACACCAGUGGCGAAGGCGCUCUACUGGGCCACAACUGACGCUGAGGGACGAAA
This 384-nucleotide ribosomal RNA is filed under the name Leptolyngbya sp. H2. RNAcentral describes it as "bacterial SSU rRNA". It matches the Rfam family "Bacterial small subunit ribosomal RNA", at positions 360 to 758 of the family's 1533-position model. Lineage: Bacteria; Bacillati; Cyanobacteriota; Cyanophyceae; Leptolyngbyales; Leptolyngbyaceae. The record is from RNAcentral.